This 497-nucleotide ribosomal RNA is filed under the name uncultured bacterium. RNAcentral's name for it is "partial 16S ribosomal RNA". It matches the Rfam family "Bacterial small subunit ribosomal RNA", at positions 28 to 507 of the family's 1533-position model. The record is from RNAcentral.
GAUGAACGCUGGCGGCGUGCCUAAUACAUGCAAGUCGAGCGAACAGACGAGGAGCUUGCUCCUCUGACGUUAGCGGCGGACGGGUGAGUAACACGUGGAUAACCUACCUUUAAGACUGGGAUAACUUCGGGAAACCGGAGAUAAUACCGGAUAAUAUAUUGAACCGCAUGGUUCAAUAGUGAAAGACGGUUUUGCUUUCACAUAUAGAUGGAUCCGCGCCGCAUUAGCUAGUGGGUAAUGUAACGGUUUACCAAGGCUACGAUGCGUAGCCGCCCUGAGAGAGUGGUCGGCCAGACUGGAACUGAGACACGGUCCAGACUCCGACGGGAGGCAGCAGUAGGGAAUCUUCCGCUAUGUUCGAAUGCCUGGCGGAGCAACGCCGCGUGAGUGAUGAAGGUCUUCGGAUCGUAAAACUCUGUUAUUAGGGAAGAACAAAUGUGUAAGUAACUAUGCACGUCUUGACGGUACCUUAUCAGAAAGAGACGGCUAACUACGUG